AUUGAAACAUUGGUUCCCAUAUGAUCACCAAAGUUAUGCAAUGUUGGGCCUAGUCAGUACCUUGAUGGAUGACCCCUUGGAAAUACCAGGUGUUGUAA
This is a non-coding RNA of Acanthosepion pharaonis, 98 nucleotides long. NCBI's taxonomy places the organism in Eukaryota, Metazoa, Mollusca, Cephalopoda, Sepiida, Sepiidae. The record is from the annotation of a GenBank genome assembly.